This 166-nucleotide ribosomal RNA is filed under the name uncultured bacterium. RNAcentral describes it as "partial 16S ribosomal RNA". The record is from RNAcentral.
UGGAUUGCGCAUGGGCGCAGCCUGAUCAGCCUGCCGCGUGUGUGAUGAAGGCCCUCUGGUUGGAAGCUGCUUUUGCACGGAAGAAAACACUCCGGUUGUACCAGCUUGACGGGACUGUACCAAUAAAGAUCGGCCGGCCCAUGCCGUGCCCCCCGGUAAUAUAAUA